AUGAACGCUGGCGGCGUGCCUCAUACAUGCAAGUCGCGCGAACAGACGAGGAGCUUGCUCCUCUGACGUUAGCGGCGGACGGGUGAGUAACACGUGGAUACCUACCUAUAAGACUGGGAUAACUUCGGGAAACCGGAGCUAAUACCGGAUAACAUGUUGAACCGCAUGGUUCAACAGUGAAAGACGGUUUUGCUGUCACUUAUAGAUGGAUCCGCGUCGCAUUAGCUAGUUGGUAAGGUAACGGCUUACCAAGGCAACGAUGCGUAGCCGACCUGAGAGGGUGAUCGGCCACACUGGAACUGAGACACGGUCCAGACUCCUACGGGAGGCAGCAGUAGGGAAUCUUCCGCAAUGGGCGAAAGCCUGACGGAGCAACGCCGCGUGAGUGAAGAAGGUCUUCGGAUCGUAAAACUCUGUUAUUAGGGAAGAACAAAUGUGUAAGUAACUAUGCACGUCUUGACGGUACCUAAUCAGAAAGCCACGGCUAACUACGUG
This 495-nucleotide ribosomal RNA is filed under the name uncultured bacterium. RNAcentral describes it as "partial 16S ribosomal RNA". It matches the Rfam family "Bacterial small subunit ribosomal RNA", at positions 29 to 507 of the family's 1533-position model. The record is from RNAcentral.